CAUAAUCAAAAUUGGCCAACACAUAUGGUUAAAGCCAUAUCACAUACUCUAAUAUUUAAACUCCUAUACAUGCCAUAGGCUCAAAGUACUUGAAAUCACUACACCAAUAGCGUUAGCUUGACAGUGUGAUAAUAUCUCUGACGGCCUCCAACCCGAGCUAACCUGGAAACUCUAGAAAACAUGGGAAAGAAGAGGGGGUAAGCUUUCGCUUAGUAAGUUCGUAUGAAAACAAUAAGCACUCAUUAACUUGUUUUAUCAGUGUUUACAACAUAUUCUCAUGUUCACUACAAGCUGUCUUUCUGAGCAACGGUCACUAAAUUAUUUAUAUCUGGAGCUACAAUUAAUAAGGAUUCAUUUCACUUUGCAAUACAAACAAUGUCUCAAUUUCAUGAAUGUAUAUCAUCACAUAUAAGCAUAUAUCCAAUUUGACAAUAAUCUCAUUUUUCUCAAUACACAUAUAUUCAUAAUCAAUAUAUUUCAUAAUAUACAAAAUCAAUCCAUUUCAUUUCAAUUAUGAAUUUAAUUUAAUCCCAAAGUACCAAAGUACUCACCUCAAAUGCUUACCAUAUGCAAACAAUUAUAUAUGCAAGUUCCGUUAAUUUUCCAUGAAAUUAGACUUAUUUUCCUUUGUUCCAUAAAAUUUUCAGAAUAUUUGGUUAAGCAAAAUAGUAUAGUUUAUUCCUCAAAGUUACCCCUGAUUCACUGUCUGACAGUUCCGACCCUUCUGUACUAAAGUUCAAUUAUCUCAUAGUACAAGACUCGAAUAAUGUUCUCGUCUAUUUCUCUUGAAACUAGACUCAUAUGUCUACUUAUUAAUUUUUUUCUAGAAAUUUUGGUUAGGCCAAUUAGUACAGUUUAUUAGUUAAAAUCUCCUCUAUUUCAGGGUAUGACCACUCUGACCCCUGUGCACUACAAACUGAAUUUCUCCCUGUACAAAAUUCCAACGACCAUGCCUUUUAUUUCCCCUAAAAAUAGACUCAAUAAGGAAUCCAUGUAUGUAAGGUAUGACUCUUAAUAAAUGUUUUACAAUUUUUGGUGAAUUUCUAAAGUCAGAACAGGGGAUCUCGAAUUCAUUCAGACACUGUUUCACAAGAAUUCAAAUAUCACACAAUAUGGAAUUCUUUUUCUUCUCCUGUUUCUUUCAUGUGAAAAUAGACUCAUUAAUCUUUAAUCCCAUAUUUUGUUUUGCCUCUAACUCAUUUUCCACUAUUUUUAGUGUAUUUUCAAAGUUACACUACUACAGUAACUCAAAUCUGUCAAGGCUAAAUUACUCAUUCAUGAUCAUUGUUCACAAAAUUAAUACAACAUCGUUUGUAUAAUCAUCACCGAGACAUUCAUAUCACAUUUUCAUUUACCAUCUUACCAUAUUGUUGUUAUGUCGAGUUUUCAACCCGAGGGUUAAGUACAUACCUAUUCAAAGUAUCUAUUUCACAACAUUUAUCAAUACGUCCCUUUCAUCUCGAGUAUUCCUCCAUUUGAGUAGAAUUUUACCCAUUGAACACAUCGGAAUAUAAUUCGGAUACAUGGAAAGUUUGCACAUAAGUGCCACAUAUGUAGCCAAGCUACCAUGUAACCCGCCCAUAAGUGAACUCGGACUCAACUCAACGAGCUCGGGCGUUCGCAUCCAUAAGUGAACUCAGACUCAACUCAACGAGCUCGGAUGCCUAGUUAAAUCUCACGAACUCAGACUCAACUCAACGAGUUCGAACAUUCGCAUCCAUAAGUGAACUCGGACUCAACUCAACGAGCUCGGAUGCCCAAAUAUUCCAGUGACAUGUCACUUGUAUCCUAAUCUAUUCCUAAGGUUCAACGGGACCUUUUUCCCAAUCAUGUGUCUCAACCAUCUUCUACGGAAUGCCGAUACCAAUACUCGGUAGUAUUUCACAUUUUCCAAGUAUAUCAUAUAAUUUGACAUAUUAUCAAACAAUUAUCACAAGUAUAAUAUCUCAUAAUAAUUAUCAUAUCAUUUAAAUAACAUCAAAACAUUUAAAAUAAUAACUAUGUUACCAACAUUUACAUAUGAACUUACCUCGAUACCACAAAGGUAAAAAAAAAAGACGUAAUUAUCCCUUAAUCGAUUUCUUUCCGUUCUAGGUCCAAAUCUCGAUUUUCAUCAUCUAAAAUAUCACAUUCAACUUAUUAAAACAAUGUACUGAUCAAAUUAGUCCAUUGACACACUUGAGCAAUUUUUACAAUUUUGCCCCUAUAUUUUGCCAAAAUUACCAAAUUACCCCUUGGCUCGUAAAAUAAUUUUUAUCACAUUUCGUUACUCCUUGAGUCUAGAUGAACCAUUUUCAUAACUAUAGCAACUCAUAAUUUCAACUAUUUCACACAUUUACAACUCAUUUUACAACUUAGCAAUCUAGCCCUUUUUAAGGUGUUUUCAUGCAAUUUCUUUCACAAAAGUUGUUUAUUAGACAACUAGGACUCAUAAUCUUCCAUAAAAACACAGAAAACAACACAUUUAAUCUCAUGGAAAAACCCUAGACUCUUCAUCAUUUUGCAAAAUAGACCCCUCAUAUGAAAGCUCAUGCUUUAGGGGUUCCAAAAAUGUAAAAAUCAUCAAGCAAAGACAUUAAAAUCACUUACAAGAAAGGGAAAUAUGUUGCUGAAAUUUUCCAGCUUCAAAGCCCUUUCUUUGCUGCAUAUUU
RNAcentral lists this long non-coding RNA (2651 nucleotides) under Gossypium barbadense (sea-island cotton). RNAcentral's name for it is "long non-coding RNA (GBAR_LNC012707)". The record is from RNAcentral. Lineage: Eukaryota; Viridiplantae; Streptophyta; Magnoliopsida; Malvales; Malvaceae.